Molecule: ribosomal RNA, 124 nt
Filed under: bacterium C2
Lineage: Bacteria
Description: partial 16S ribosomal RNA
Rfam family: Bacterial small subunit ribosomal RNA
Source: RNAcentral
CCUACGGGAGGCAGCAGUGAGGAAUAUUGGUCAAUGGGCGGAAGCCUGAACCAGCCAAGUAGCGUGCAGGAUGACGGCCCUCCGGGUUGUAAACUGCUUUGAAGGGGAGUAAAGUGACUGACUU